GAUGAACGCUGGCGGCGUGCCUAAUACAUGCAAGUCGAGCGAACGGACGAGAAGCUUGCUUCUCUGAUGUUAGCGGCGGACGGGUGAGUAACACGUGGAUAACCUACCUAUAAGACUGGGAUAACUUCGGGAAACCGGAGCUAAUACCGGAUAAUAUUUUGAACCGCAUGGUUCAAAAGUAAAAGACGGUCUUGCUGUCACUUAUAGAUGGAUCCGCGCUGCAUUAGCUAGUUGGUAAGGUAACGGCUUACCAAGGCAACGAUGCAUAGCCGACCUGAGAGGGUGAUCGGCCACACUGGAACUGAGACACGGUCCAGACUCCUACGGGAGGCAGCAGUAGGGAAUCUUCCGCAAUGGGCGAAAGCCUGACGGAGCAACGCCGCGUGAGUGAUGAAGGUCUUCGGAUCGUAAAACUCUGUUAUUAGGGAAGAACAUAUGUGUAAGUAACUUUGCACAUCUUGACGGUACCUAAUCAGAAAGCCACGGCUAACUACGUG
Molecule: ribosomal RNA, 497 nt
Filed under: uncultured bacterium
Lineage: Bacteria
Description: partial 16S ribosomal RNA
Rfam family: Bacterial small subunit ribosomal RNA
Source: RNAcentral